AGGCAUUUCGAUGAGAUACAGAAAUGCGAAGAGAUACAGAACAAUAUGCGUUAACUGUCAACUCGAAAUUCGUUGCGUGAAUCAGAACGGUGGUUUGACAUACCAAAACAAAUACCACAGAGCCGUAUACAACACUUGUCGCGACCACGUUUCAAGAGGUAAUGCACGACGAUACACAACAGUUUGCGCUACACCUGCCAACUCAAGUUUUAUUAAAUGAAUGAAAGUAGUAGUGGUACGAUCUUGCUUAUGCACAGCGCUAAGCACAACGGAGACACCGUAAUAAUAAAUACUAAAGCGUCUGUAAAAUAACAAGAAGCAGAGGACAUUCAAAUCCCAGUUCGUCGUUGGAUACGUGAACAUUACACAAAAUUAACAAGUAGUAAUAAGGCAAGAUGUAAUCAUUGUAAUGCAAAAUUUAUUAUAUAUUGUAUAAGAAUCCAUCCUUAGCUGUUUUACAUAAACACUUGAUGAAGACACAUUCACACAAAUUAACAA
This is a long non-coding RNA of Trachymyrmex septentrionalis, 498 nucleotides long. RefSeq lists it as uncharacterized. NCBI's taxonomy places the organism in Eukaryota, Metazoa, Arthropoda, Insecta, Hymenoptera, Formicidae. The record is from RefSeq and is a predicted model, not a curated record. The transcript is spliced from 3 exons.